Molecule: long non-coding RNA, 532 nt
Organism: Cryptotermes secundus
Lineage: Eukaryota; Metazoa; Arthropoda; Insecta; Blattodea; Kalotermitidae
Exons: 3
Source: RefSeq, a predicted model, not a curated record
UCGUUUCCACUAUAAGGAAAAGAAGUUAUCCCUCAUAUAAGUAAUUACGCACUGAAAGCUCAUCUCAGUUGCUGGAUAAAGCGUUCGGGAACCUGUUCACGUGAAGAUGUUUCGUCUGGUUUUGUUGCUGGUAGCUAUUGGUAAAUUGGCAUGGUGUGACUCACCUCCGCCCUAUCCACCAAAUCUAGACCGAUGUGCAUCUGUCUUCUGUGUCGGUGUCAACAGAGAAGAUUGCCCGGGCGAGUAUCUCGACUACCACCCACCAGAGCGCUGCUGUAGUGUGUGCACCGUGUAUAAAGGUUUGAAUGAGUCAUGUGCGCGUAAUCAAUUCCCGAUCACUGUAAAAUGCAGGAGUCCCUAUAUCUGCAAGAACGACAUUUGCGUGGAAUGAAGAAAUGCAGGCCGGCGAAUGCUAGGAAGUCAUCACAAUGUUUGUAACAAAAUAAUAGUAAUAAAAAAUGUAUGACUGUGUGUAGGAUUAUUACAGCAUUUCAAGCAGGUCAUUUGAAAGAAUAAAAUGAUUUCAACGAAA